GGUUAAGCGACUAAGCGUACACGGUGGAUGCCCUGGCAGUCAGAGGCGAUGAAGGACGUGCUAAUCUGCGAUAAGCGCCGGUAAGGUGAUAUGAACCGUUAUAACCGGCGAUUUCCGAAUGGGGAAACCCAGUGUGACUCGUCACACUAUCAUUAACUGAAUCCAUAGGUUAAUGAGGCGAACCGGGGGAACUGAAACAUCUAAGUACCCCGAGGAAAAGAAAUCAACCGAGAUUCCCCCAGUAGCGGCGAGCGAACGGGGAGGAGCCCAGAGCCUGAAUCAGCAUGUGUGUUAGUGGAAGCGUCUGGAAAGGCGCGCGAUACAGGGUGACAGCCCCGUACACAAAAGCGCAUGUGCUGUGAGCUCGAUGAGUAGGGCGGGACACGUGGUAUCCUGUCUGAAUAUGGGGGGACCAUCCUCCAAGGCUAAAUACUCCUGACUGACCGAUAGUGAACCAGUACCGUGAGGGAAAGGCGAAAAGAACCCCGGCGAGGGGAGUGAAAAAGAACCUGAAACCGUGUACGUACAAGCAGUGGGAGCCCCACCACUAAGCCAGUGGUGAACUCCACAUACGCAUCCUUUGCUGAGGAUACGGUUAACGGAGCGAAAGCGACGUUCAACCGCAAAAGAAGCAGAGGGGGCUUAGUGGUGGGGUGACUGCGUACCUUUUGUAUAAUGGGUCAGCGACUUAUAUUCUGUAGCAAGGUUAACCGAAUAGGGGAGCCGGAGGGAAACCGAGUCUUAACCGGGCGUUAAGUUGCAGGGUAUAGACCCGAAACCCGGUGAUCUAGCCAUGGGCAGGUUGAAGGUUGGGUAACACUAACUGGAGGACCGAACCGACUAAUGUUGAAAAAUUAGCGGAUGACCUGUGGCUGGGGGUGAAAGGCCAAUCAAACCGGGAGAUAGCUGGUUCUCCCCGAAAGCUAUUUAGGUAGCGCCUCGUGAAUUCAUCUCCGGGGGUAGAGCACUGUUUCGGCUAGGGGGCCAUCCCGGCUUACCAACCCGAUGCAAACUGCGAAUACCGGAGAAUGUUAUCACGGGAGACACACGGCGGGUGCUAACGUCCGUCGUGAAGAGGGAAACAACCCAGACCGCCAGCUAAGGUCCCAAAGUCAUGGUUAAGUGGGAAACGAUGUGGGAAGGCCCAGACAGCCAGGAUGUUGGCUUAGAAGCAGCCAUCAUUUAAAGAAAGCGUAAUAGCUCACUGGUCGAGUCGGCCUGCGCGGAAGAUGUAACGGGGCUAAACCAUGCACCGAAGCUGCGGCAGCGACGCUGAUGCGUUGUUGGGUAGGGGAGCGUUCUGUAAGCCUGUGAAGGUGGCCUGUGAGGGUUGCUGGAGGUAUCAGAAGUGCGAAUGCUGACAUAAGUAACGAUAAAGCGGGUGAAAAGCCCGCUCGCCGGAAGACCAAGGGUUCCUGUCCAACGUUAAUCGGGGCAGGGUGAGUCGACCCCUAAGGCGAGGCCGAAAGGCGUAGUCGAUGGGAAACGGGUUAAUAUUCCCGUACUUGGUGUUACUGCGAAGGGGGGACGGAGAAGGCUAUGUUGGCCGGGCGACGGUUGUCCCGGUUUAAGCGUGUAGGUGUGUGUUCCAGGUAAAUCCGGUUCACUUUAACACUGAGGCGUGACGACGAGGCACUACGGUGCUGAAGCAACAAAUGCCCUGCUUCCAGGAAAAGCCUCUAAGCAUCAGGUAACAUCAAAUCGUACCCCAAACCGACACAGGUGGUCAGGUAGAGAAUACCAAGGCGCUUGAGAGAACUCGGGUGAAGGAACUAGGCAAAAUGGUGCCGUAACUUCGGGAGAAGGCACGCUGACACGUAGGUGAAGUGAUUUACUCACGGAGCUGAAGUCAGUCGAAGAUACCAGCUGGCUGCAACUGUUUAUUAAAAACACAGCACUGUGCAAACACGAAAGUGGACGUAUACGGUGUGACGCCUGCCCGGUGCCGGAAGGUUAAUUGAUGGGGUCAGCGCAAGCGAAGCUCCUGAUCGAAGCCCCGGUAAACGGCGGCCGUAACUAUAACGGUCCUAAGGUAGCGAAAUUCCUUGUCGGGUAAGUUCCGACCUGCACGAAUGGCGUAAUGAUGGCCAGGCUGUCUCCACCCGAGACUCAGUGAAAUUGAACUCGCUGUGAAGAUGCAGUGUACCCGCGGCAAGACGGAAAGACCCCGUGAACCUUUACUAUAGCUUGACACUGAACAUUGAGCCUUGAUGUGUAGGAUAGGUGGGAGGCUUUGAAGUGUGGACGCCAGUCUGCAUGGAGCCGACCUUGAAAUACCACCCUUUAAUGUUUGAUGUUCUAACGUGGACCCGUGAUCCGGGUUGCGGACAGUGUCUGGUGGGUAGUUUGACUGGGGCGGUCUCCUCCUAAAGAGUAACGGAGGAGCACGAAGGUUGGCUAAUCCUGGUCGGACAUCAGGAGGUUAGUGCAAUGGCAUAAGCCAGCUUGACUGCGAGCGUGACGGCGCGAGCAGGUGCGAAAGCAGGUCAUAGUGAUCCGGUGGUUCUGAAUGGAAGGGCCAUCGCUCAACGGAUAAAAGGUACUCCGGGGAUAACAGGCUGAUACCGCCCAAGAGUUCAUAUCGACGGCGGUGUUUGGCACCUCGAUGUCGGCUCAUCACAUCCUGGGGCUGAAGUAGGUCCCAAGGGUAUGGCUGUUCGCCAUUUAAAGUGGUACGCGAGCUGGGUUUAGAACGUCGUGAGACAGUUCGGUCCCUAUCUGCCGUGGGCGCUGGAGAACUGAGGGGGGCUGCUCCUAGUACGAGAGGACCGGAGUGGACGCAUCACUGGUGUUCGGGUUGUCAUGCCAAUGGCACUGCCCGGUAGCUAAAUGCGGAAGAGAUAAGUGCUGAAAGCAUCUAAGCACGAAACUUGCCCCGAGAUGAGUUCUCCCUGAGACUUUAGGUCUCCUGAAGGAACGUUGAAGACGACGACGUUGAUAGGCCGGGUGUGUAAGCGCAGCGAUGCGUUGAGCUAACCGGUACUAAUGAACCGUGAGGCUUAACCUU
This 3007-nucleotide ribosomal RNA is filed under the name Salmonella enterica subsp. enterica serovar Muenster. Its description in RNAcentral is "23S ribosomal RNA". It matches the Rfam family "Bacterial large subunit ribosomal RNA". The record is from RNAcentral. Lineage: Bacteria; Pseudomonadati; Pseudomonadota; Gammaproteobacteria; Enterobacterales; Enterobacteriaceae.